Molecule: ribosomal RNA, 370 nt
Filed under: Vibrio sp. MA-16
Lineage: Bacteria; Pseudomonadati; Pseudomonadota; Gammaproteobacteria; Vibrionales; Vibrionaceae
Description: bacterial SSU rRNA
Rfam family: Bacterial small subunit ribosomal RNA
Source: RNAcentral
CGAGCGGCGGACGGGUGAGUAAUGCCUAGGAAAUUGCCCUGAUGUGGGGGAUAACCAUUGGAAACGAUGGCUAAUACCGCAUGAUGCCUACGGGCCAAAGAGGGGGACCUUCGGGCCUCUCGCGUCAGGAUAUGCCUAGGUGGGAUUAGCUAGUUGGUGAGGUAAGGGCUCACCAAGGCGACGAUCCCUAGCUGGUCUGAGAGGAUGAUCAGCCACACUGGAACUGAGACACGGUCCAGACUCCUACGGGAGGCAGCAGUGGGGAAUAUUGCACAAUGGGCGCAAGCCUGAUGCAGCCAUGCCGCGUGUAUGAAGAAGGCCUUCGGGUUGUAAAGUACUUUCAGUCGUGAGGAAGGCGGCGUCGUUAAUA